Molecule: long non-coding RNA, 420 nt
Organism: Vitis vinifera (wine grape)
Lineage: Eukaryota; Viridiplantae; Streptophyta; Magnoliopsida; Vitales; Vitaceae
Exons: 2
Source: RefSeq, a predicted model, not a curated record
UAUUUAUUUAUUUAAUGUCUUUGGUAUGCCAAGGUGGACAAUUUCUACAUUAUGUCCUAUCCUUGGAGAAUUAGUUCAUAAAUGAAUUUGCUUAUGCAUGGAAUUUCACCAAUUAUUUCAGGUUGAAUUUUAUAAUAAGUUCAGUUAUGUUCCACAUAUUGUUGAUUGAAGAAAGCUAUUAUACUCUUCAAAUCAAUAAGAGGAACUCUAUCAGCCAUUUCCAGAUGAGCCCUUUAUAGAGCUUGCUUCUCUAUGUUCCUUUUUAUAGACCUUCAAAUUAUGUAUUGUACCUUCAGCUUUAGACCUUCCUAGGGCAGUGCAUCAAAGCUCAUUGUAUUUGUUCUGUAAUGAACUUCUGCUGGGUGAAAAACAUAAUUUCCUUUUGGACCAUAUAUUGUUACUGCUUCUGGUUUUGUUGGA